CUGCCUUCUCCAAAUGGGUCUUUGUCAACAAUUAUGACUGCAGCAAGGGAAAAGCCCAUUUCUAGUUUGGGCCUAGAAUAUUCUAUAACCUUCUCAAAUGAUUGCACUAAGGAGCAGACUUCUAAGCACGAGAACUGUCUAGGAAAGGACGAGGACCAAAUUACCAAGCCUUUGGAUCUAAUCCAUGUGGCAUCCCAUCUGUGGGCCCCUGGGAGAUUCAAAGUCGGCCGGUGCUGGAGGCCAAUCAUAUUUAUACCAUUUCCAUAUGGCACCUUUUGAUUGAGACUUGGCAAGCACUCAGACUGGAAGAAGACAGAGAGCAAGACACUGGAACAAGCAGCAGGAGUGGAGCCUGGGACGCAAGGUCAGCACAUAGCAAGCCCUUGCUUUGGAGCAGAGGCGGCCGGUUUCCAGGGCAGUGAGUAUUUGAAGCGGUAGUUGUGACCUUCAGCUUCACUGGGGCAAGCAUCACCUGUAAGCAACCAGGCAUUGGGUGUGAUUAAUUAAUACGUUUCUUUAGCAUAUGGGGUGAGGGAGGGACAGGGGCUAAUUUGAGCAGUCAGGGACAAGGAGUCAACAUCAGUGUGGAGUGGUAAUGUUUGUACACCAAGCUGGUAGAUAGACAUCCUAGUUACAUAUGAUUCUGUUGGUGUUGCCUACAGAGGAGAAAAAAGUGAUCAAGUGGUUGUGGAUUUUAUGUUUGCUUAUCUGUUUUUUUAAAAAAGGCUAAUAAUGAAUUUUAUCAAGAUGUUGGAUUCCUGCAUGUUAGACAUUGUAGUGGGUUGAAUUUUGAUCCCCAAAAAGAUAUGUCCUAAGUCUUAACCUCACAGUAGCUGUGAAUGUGACCUUAUAUAGAGCCUUUGCAGAUGUGUUAAGUUAAGCAUCUCCAGAUGAGCUCAUUCUGGAUUCAGUGUGGGCCCUAAAUCCAAUGACUGGUGGUAUAAGAGAAAGGAGAGAGAUACAGACCCAGAGACACACAGAGGGGAAGGCCAUGAGAAGACGAGGCAGCUUUGGAGUUACGCAACCACAGUCAUGGGAUGCCAGAAGCCCUGGAGGAGUCAAGGAAGGAUGCUCCCCUAGAACCCUGGAAGGGACGGUGGCCCUGGUGACACUUUCUGGACAUCUGGUCUCCAAAACUGAGUGAGAAUAAAUUUCUGUUGUUUUAAGCCACCCGAUUUAUGAUCAUCUGUUCUGGCAGUCCUAGGAAUGUAAUACAAGCAUAUUUAGUGUUUGCUGAUAUAAAAGUGA
Cercocebus atys (sooty mangabey) is the source of this 1248-nucleotide long non-coding RNA. RefSeq lists it as uncharacterized. The transcript is spliced from 3 exons. The record is from RefSeq and is a predicted model, not a curated record. NCBI's taxonomy places the organism in Eukaryota, Metazoa, Chordata, Mammalia, Primates, Cercopithecidae.